AUGAAAUCCUUGAGCUUUUUGCUGGUGUUCCUGUGGCUUCAGUUUAACUGGGUGAGCAGCCAGCAGAAGGUGCAGCAGAACCCAGAAUCCCUCAGUGUCCCAGGGGGAGCCAUGGCCUCUCUCAACUGCACUUUCAGUGAUAGUGCUUCCAACAACUUCAGGUGGUACAGACAGCUUUCCGGGAAAGGCCUCGAGUUGCUGGUGUCCAUCUUCUCCAAUGGUGACAAGGAAGAAGGCAGAUUCACAGCUCACCUCAAUAAAGCCAGCCUGCAUGUUGCCCUGCACAUCAGAGACUCCCAGCCCAGUGACUCUGCUGUCUACCUCUGUGCAGCGAGCACACAGUGCUCCCCAGGCACCUGCAGCCUGCACACAAACAUGAUAUGUACAGGAAGAUCUGAGCUCGAGCAUGCUUGA
Meriones unguiculatus (Mongolian gerbil) is the source of this 414-nucleotide non-coding RNA. The record is from the annotation of a RefSeq genome assembly. NCBI's taxonomy places the organism in Eukaryota, Metazoa, Chordata, Mammalia, Rodentia, Muridae.